Molecule: ribosomal RNA, 361 nt
Filed under: Escherichia coli
Lineage: Bacteria; Pseudomonadati; Pseudomonadota; Gammaproteobacteria; Enterobacterales; Enterobacteriaceae
Description: partial 23S ribosomal RNA
Rfam family: Bacterial large subunit ribosomal RNA
Source: RNAcentral
GGGACACGUGGUAUCCUGUCUGAAUAUGGGGGGACCAUCCUCCAAGGCUAAAUACUCCUGACUGACCGAUAGUGAACCAGUACCGUGAGGGAAAGGCGAAAAGAACCCCGGCGAGGGGAGUGAAAAAGAACCUGAAACCGUGUACGUACAAGCAGUGGGAGCACAGAGCAAUCUGUGUGACUGCGUACCUUUUGUAUAAUGGGUCAGCGACUUAUAUUCUGUAGCAAGGUUAACCGAAUAGGGGAGCCGAAGGGAAACCGAGUCUUAACUGGGCGUUAAGUUGCAGGGUAUAGACCCGAAACCCGGUGAUCUAGCCAUGGGCAGGUUGAAGGUUGGGUAACACUAACUGGAGGACCGAACC